Molecule: unclassified non-coding RNA, 280 nt
Filed under: Helotiales sp.
Lineage: Eukaryota; Fungi; Ascomycota; Leotiomycetes; Helotiales
Description: partial contains 5.8S ribosomal RNA, internal transcribed spacer 2, and large subunit ribosomal RNA
Rfam family: 5.8S ribosomal RNA (bases 1-71)
Source: RNAcentral
GUGAGUCAUCGAAUCUUUGAACGCACAUUGCGCCCCUUGGUAUUCCGAGGGGCAUGCCUGUUCGAGCGUCAUUACAACCCUCAAGCAUUGCUUGGUAUUGGGCUCCGCUGCUCACCCAGCGGGCCUUAAAAUCAGUGGCGGUGCCGUCAGGCCCUGAGCGUAGUAAAUAUCCUCGCUAUAGGGACCUGGUGGACGCUGGCCAGCAACCCCCAUUUUCUAAGUUUGACCUCGGAUCAGGUAGGGAUACCCGCUGAACUUAAGCAUAUCAAUAAGCGGAGGA